GGAGUUAGCCGGUGCUUCUUCUGUGAGUGAUGUCCUUCCUGCCGGUUAUUGACCCGCAGGCCUUCUUCCUCACUGAAAGUGCUUUACAACCCGAAGGCCUUCUUCACACACGCGGCAUGGCUGGAUCAGGGUUUCCCCCAUUGUCCAAUAUUCCCCACUGCUGCCUCCCGUAGGAGUCUGGGCCGUGUCUCAGUCCCAGUGUGGCUGAUCAUCCUCUCAGACCAGCUACGGAUCGUCGCCUUGGUGAGCCGUUACCUCACCAACCAGCUAAUCCGACAUAGGCUCAUCCGAUAGCGCGAGGCCCGAAGGUCCCCCGCUUUCCCCCGUAGGGCGUAUGCGGUAUUAGCCUGGGUUUCCCCAGGUUAUCCCCCACUACCGGGCAGAUUCCUAUGCAUUACUCACCCGUCCGCCGCUCGCCACCAGGGAGCAAGCUCCCCGUGCUGCCGCUCGACUUGCAUGUGUUAGGCCUGCCGCCAGCGUUCAAUCUGAGCCAGAAUCAAACUCUGA
Molecule: ribosomal RNA, 507 nt
Filed under: uncultured bacterium
Lineage: Bacteria
Description: partial 16S ribosomal RNA
Source: RNAcentral